CGCACAUUGCGCCCGCCAGUACUCUGGCGGGCAUGCCUGUCCGAGCGUCAUUUCAACCCUCAAGCCCCCGGGCUUGGUGUUGGGGAUCGGCGAACGCCGCCGUCCCCCAAAUCCAGUGGCGGUCCCGCCGAGCUUCCUCUGCGUAGUAGCAACACCUCGCACUGGAGCCUCGCGGUCCCACGCCGUAAAACACCCCACUUCUGAACGUUGACCUCGGAUCAGGUAGGACUACCCGCUGAACUUAA
This 245-nucleotide unclassified non-coding RNA is filed under the name Nectriaceae sp. RNAcentral describes it as "partial contains 5.8S ribosomal RNA, internal transcribed spacer 2, and large subunit ribosomal RNA". The record is from RNAcentral. Lineage: Eukaryota; Fungi; Ascomycota; Sordariomycetes; Hypocreales; Nectriaceae.